CCUACGGGAGGCAGCAGUGAGGAAUAUUGGUCAAUUGACGAGAGUCUGAACCAGCCAAGUAGCGUGAAGGAUGACUGCCCUAUGGGUUGUAAACUUCUUUUAUAAAGGAAUAAAACGAGGCACGUGUGCCUUUUUGCAUGUACUUUAUGAAUAAGGAUCGGCUAACUCCGUGCCAGCAGCCGCGGUAAUACGGAGGAUCCGAGCGUUAUCCGGAUUUAUUGGGUUUAAAGGGAGCGUAGAUGGGUUGUUAAGUCAGUUGUGAAAGUUUGCGGCUCAACCGUAAAAUUGCAAUUGAUACUGGCAGUCGUGAGUACAGUUGAGGUAGGCGGAAUUCGUGGUGUAGCGGUGAAAUGCUUAGAUAUCACGAAGAACCCCGAUUGCGAAGGCAGCUUACUAAACUGUGACUGACAUUGAUGCUCGAAAGUGUGGGUAUCAAACAGGAUUAGAUACCCCGGUAGUC
This 460-nucleotide ribosomal RNA is filed under the name uncultured bacterium. RNAcentral's name for it is "partial 16S ribosomal RNA". It matches the Rfam family "Bacterial small subunit ribosomal RNA", at positions 338 to 795 of the family's 1533-position model. The record is from RNAcentral.